GACAGAGGCCACAAGCGUUAGGCGGAAUCACUGGGCUUAAAGCGUGUGUAGGCGGGUCGUUAAGUGCCUUGUGAAAUCCCACGGCUCAACCGUGGAACUGCUGGGCAUACUGGCGAUCUUGAGCUGUCUAGGGGCGACUGGAACAAACGGUGGAGCGGUGAAAUGCGUAGAGAUCUGGAGGAAUACCGAUGGCGAAGGCAGCCAUCUGGCCUAACACUGACGCUGAGGUGCGAAAGCAUGGGGAGCAAACAGGG
RNAcentral lists this ribosomal RNA (254 nucleotides) under uncultured bacterium. RNAcentral describes it as "partial 16S ribosomal RNA". It matches the Rfam family "Bacterial small subunit ribosomal RNA", at positions 524 to 777 of the family's 1533-position model. The record is from RNAcentral.